This is a non-coding RNA of Mycena galopus ATCC 62051, 79 nucleotides long. The record is from the annotation of a GenBank genome assembly. Lineage: Eukaryota; Fungi; Basidiomycota; Agaricomycetes; Agaricales; Mycenaceae.
AGCCCGGUGGCGAAUGGUUCGCACCCGUCUUCGAAUAAGCAUCGUGCGAGAAUCGCUCGUUCGAAUCGAGCCUGGGCUA